Molecule: ribosomal RNA, 460 nt
Filed under: uncultured bacterium
Lineage: Bacteria
Description: partial 16S ribosomal RNA
Rfam family: Bacterial small subunit ribosomal RNA
Source: RNAcentral
CCUACGGGUGGCAGCAGUGAGGAAUAUUGGUCAAUGGACGCAAGUCUGAACCAGCCAUGCCGCGUGCAGGAAGACGGCUCUAUGAGUUGUAAACUGCUUUUGUACGAGGGUUAACGCAGAUACGCGUAUCUGUCUGAAAGUAUCGCUCGAAUAAGGAUCGGCUAACUCCGUGCCAGCAGCCGCGGUAAUACGGAGGAUUCAAGCGUUAUCCGGAGUUAUUGGGUUUAACGGGUGCGUAGGCGGUCGGAUAAGUUAGAGGUGAAAUCCCGAGGCUCAACUUCGGAAUUGCCUCUGAUACUGUUAGGCUAGAGAGUAGUUGCGGUAGGCGGAAUGUAUGGUGUAGCGGUGAAAUGCUUAGAGAUCAUACAGAACACCGAUUGCGAAGGCAGCUUACCAAGCUACUUCUGACGUUGAGGCACGAAAGCGUGGGGAGCAAACAGGAUUAGAUACCCUAGUAGUC